CAACGCGCAGAACCUUACCAGCCCUUGACAUCCCGGUCGCGGAUCGCAGAGAUGCUUCCUUCAGUUCGGCUGGACCGGUGACAGGUGCUGCAUGGCUGUCGUCAGCUCGUGUCGUGAGAUGUUGGGUUAAGUCCCGCAACGAGCGCAACCCCCGCCUUCAGUUGCCAACGGUUCGGCCGUGCACUCUGGAGGAACUGCCUGUGACAAGCAGGAGGAAGGUGGGGAUGACGUCAAGUCCUCAUGGCCCUUAUGGGCUGGGCUACACACGUGCUACAAUGGCGGUGACAGAGGGAUGCAAUACCGCGAGGUGGAGCAAAUCCCUAAAAGCCGUCUCAGUUCGGAUUGCACUCUGCAACUCGAGUGCAUGAAGUUGGAAUCGCUAGUAAUCGCGGAUCAGCACGCCGCGGUGAAUACGUUCCCGGGCCUU
RNAcentral lists this ribosomal RNA (427 nucleotides) under uncultured Alphaproteobacteria bacterium. RNAcentral describes it as "bacterial SSU rRNA". It matches the Rfam family "Bacterial small subunit ribosomal RNA", at positions 957 to 1382 of the family's 1533-position model. The record is from RNAcentral. Lineage: Bacteria; Pseudomonadati; Pseudomonadota; Alphaproteobacteria.